This is a long non-coding RNA of Helianthus annuus (common sunflower), 961 nucleotides long. RefSeq lists it as uncharacterized. The transcript is spliced from 2 exons. The record is from RefSeq and is a predicted model, not a curated record. NCBI's taxonomy places the organism in Eukaryota, Viridiplantae, Streptophyta, Magnoliopsida, Asterales, Asteraceae.
GCCACAUUCGUACAUCAGAGCCGCACCACUAGGGAGAUUAAAGAGAAAAAGUUUGAUAUGAGUGAGUGAAAAGGGAGGGGCACGGUUGUUCUGCAGUGGCGCCAUGGAAGCAACACCAGGCGUGGAUCGGUUCUGCUGAAGGCCGGGAAGCCACUGGUGGUUGUGGUUUGUACAUCCGAGCGGCGGUGACGAAGUUUGACGGUGUACUAGCUCAUUGGUCUGCGUCAAAACGGUACCCGAGGUGGAUGGCAAGCACCAUGGAUGGAUUCUGUGGCUGCAAGGAGAUCGUUGAGGGUGUUUGAGCACCUCGCCGCCACCUCCGGCAACGCGGCUACGGUGCCGCCAAGGUUCUUGCUUUACGACGCCACGCCCUUUCCGAGGCCACCAUGCGUUCCAGAUUUGCGAUGUCGUCUCUCAUCAUGGUUCAUCUAGGAUCCCAUCUACUUCUGCAAAUCCUCCUUAAUUCAAAUGCAUUCAAUUGCUGAAGAAAGGGGACGUUUGUGAAUUGUGAUGGUGGUUCGAUAUGAAAUGACUAAUCACGGUGAAAAUGACAAGCCUUAAGAAAACAACAAUGAGAUAUGGGUGCCGGAAAUGCAAGCUUCACUCUGGCGGAGAUUACUCGGGAAGAGAAGUUAUCGUUGCUUGGUUAGUUGGUCGAAGAAGAAGACUCUAAGGAUACCGCCUCUGCAUCUUUGGGCAUGAAGGGUGGGUGAUGUUGAUUUUGUCUGAUUAGAGCACUUAAUAUAAGUUAUGACUUGAUAAGCUUCUCUUAACUAAUCACAUCAAUGAUGCAACUUCUAGAAUGAUUAUAUUCGUUAUGUUCUUUAGUCUACUGGUGUAAUUCAUUGUAUCCUCUGUAAGUGUAAAAACAACUUUCUUAUAAUAGCAUUCAAUUGUAAGUUUUGGAUGGUGACAACCCCAAUUGCUUAUGGGAGAACAAGCCAAAUUGGACCAAAAUCUU